CCUACGGGGGGCUGCAGUGGGGAAUAUUGGACAAUGGGCGAAAGCCUGAUCCAGCCAUGCCGCGUGUGUGAAGAAGGCCUUCGGGUUGUAAAGCACUUUCAGUGGGGAAGAAAGCCUUGGGGCUAAUACCCUCGAGGAAGGACAUCACCCACAGAAGAAGCACCGGCUAACUCCGUGCCAGCAGCCGCGGUAAUACGGAGGGUGCGAGCGUUAAUCGGAAUUACUGGGCGUAAAGCGCGCGUAGGCGGUCUGAUAAGCCGGUUGUGAAAGCCCCGGGCUCAACCUGGGAACGACAUCCGGAACUGUCAGGCUAGAGUGCAGGAGAGGAAGGUAGAAUUCCCGGUGUAGCGGUGAAAUGCGUAGAGAUCGGGAGGAAUACCAGUGGCGAAGGCGGCCUUCUGGACUGACACUGACGCUGAGGUGCGAAAGCGUGGGUAGCAAACAGGAUUAGAUACCCUAGUAGUC
This 465-nucleotide ribosomal RNA is filed under the name Vreelandella stevensii. RNAcentral describes it as "partial 16S ribosomal RNA". It matches the Rfam family "Bacterial small subunit ribosomal RNA", at positions 338 to 795 of the family's 1533-position model. The record is from RNAcentral. Lineage: Bacteria; Pseudomonadati; Pseudomonadota; Gammaproteobacteria; Oceanospirillales; Halomonadaceae.